GGGUUGUGAGGUUAAGCGACUAAGCGUACACGGUGGAUGCCCUGGCAGUCAGAGGCGAUGAAGGACGUGCUAAUCUGCGAUAAGCGUCGGUAAGGUGAUAUGAACCGUUAUAACCGGCGAUUUCCGAAUGGGGAAACCCAGUGUGUUUCGACACACUAUCAUUAACUGAAUCCAUAGGUUAAUGAGGCGAACCGGGGGAACUGAAACAUCUAAGUACCCCGAGGAAAAGAAAUCAACCGAGAUUCCCCCAGUAGCGGCGAGCGAACGGGGAGCAGCCCAGAGCCUGAAUCAGUGUGUGUGUUAGUGGAAGCGUCUGGAAAGGCGCGCGAUACAGGGUGACAGCCCCGUACACAAAAAUGCACAUGCUGUGAGCUCGAUGAGUAGGGCGGGACACGUGGUAUCCUGUCUGAAUAUGGGGGGACCAUCCUCCAAGGCUAAAUACUCCUGACUGACCGAUAGUGAACCAGUACCGUGAGGGAAAGGCGAAAAGAACCCCGGCGAGGGGAGUGAAAAAGAACCUGAAACCGUGUACGUACAAGCAGUGGGAGCACGCUUAGGCGUGUGACUGCGUACCUUUUGUAUAAUGGGUCAGCGACUUAUAUUCUGUAGCAAGGUUAACCGAAUAGGGGAGCCGAAGGGAAACCGAGUCUUAACUGGGCGUUAAGUUGCAGGGUAUAGACCCGAAACCCGGUGAUCUAGCCAUGGGCAGGUUGAAGGUUGGGUAACACUAACUGGAGGACCGAACCGACUAAUGUUGAAAAAUUAGCGGAUGACUUGUGGCUGGGGGUGAAAGGCCAAUCAAACCGGGAGAUAGCUGGUUCUCCCCGAAAGCUAUUUAGGUAGCGCCUCGUGAAUUCAUCUCCGGGGGUAGAGCACUGUUUCGGCAAGGGGGUCAUCCCGACUUACCAACCCGAUGCAAACUGCGAAUACCGGAGAAUGUUAUCACGGGAGACACACGGCGGGUGCUAACGUCCGUCGUGAAGAGGGAAACAACCCAGACCGCCAGCUAAGGUCCCAAAGUCAUGGUUAAGUGGGAAACGAUGUGGGAAGGCCCAGACAGCCAGGAUGUUGGCUUAGAAGCAGCCAUCAUUUAAAGAAAGCGUAAUAGCUCACUGGUCGAGUCGGCCUGCGCGGAAGAUGUAACGGGGCUAAACCAUGCACCGAAGCUGCGGCAGCGACGCUUAUGCGUUGUUGGGUAGGGGAGCGUUCUGUAAGCCUGCGAAGGUGUGCUGUGAGGCAUGCUGGAGGUAUCAGAAGUGCGAAUGCUGACAUAAGUAACGAUAAAGCGGGUGAAAAGCCCGCUCGCCGGAAGACCAAGGGUUCCUGUCCAACGUUAAUCGGGGCAGGGUGAGUCGACCCCUAAGGCGAGGCCGAAAGGCGUAGUCGAUGGGAAACAGGUUAAUAUUCCUGUACUUGGUGUUACUGCGAAGGGGGGACGGAGAAGGCUAUGUUGGCCGGGCGACGGUUGUCCCGGUUUAAGCGUGUAGGCUGGUUUUCCAGGCAAAUCCGGAAAAUCAAGGCUGAGGCGUGAUGACGAGGCACUACGGUGCUGAAGCAACAAAUGCCCUGCUUCCAGGAAAAGCCUCUAAGCAUCAGGUAACAUCAAAUCGUACCCCAAACCGACACAGGUGGUCAGGUAGAGAAUACCAAGGCGCUUGAGAGAACUCGGGUGAAGGAACUAGGCAAAAUGGUGCCGUAACUUCGGGAGAAGGCACGCUGAUAUGUAGGUGA
Molecule: ribosomal RNA, 1731 nt
Filed under: Escherichia coli
Lineage: Bacteria; Pseudomonadati; Pseudomonadota; Gammaproteobacteria; Enterobacterales; Enterobacteriaceae
Also listed under: 3 other names
Description: partial 23S ribosomal RNA
Rfam family: Bacterial large subunit ribosomal RNA
Source: RNAcentral